GGGAAGCAAACUACUGGAUAUAGAGUUCAAAACCACGGUUAUAAGGUUUUUCAAGAAGUUUCUAGAAACUGCUGAUAAAUUUACUGAGACUCUUGAGGAUAU
Long non-coding RNA from Pipistrellus kuhlii (Kuhl's pipistrelle), 102 nucleotides. RefSeq lists it as uncharacterized. The record is from RefSeq and is a predicted model, not a curated record. The transcript is spliced from 3 exons. NCBI's taxonomy places the organism in Eukaryota, Metazoa, Chordata, Mammalia, Chiroptera, Vespertilionidae.